This is an unclassified non-coding RNA of Ursus americanus (American black bear), 192 nucleotides long. NCBI's taxonomy places the organism in Eukaryota, Metazoa, Chordata, Mammalia, Carnivora, Ursidae. The record is from Ensembl.
CUGCCUUAGACAAAGGAUGCGCCGGGGCCCGACCACACCUAAAGCCACGCUUUGAAGGAUGUGCCAAGCUCACUUUUAAUCAUGAGAAAGAAAUUACCCACAUGGAGUCAGCAGAAAAUGAGAAAGUAGAGCUCGUGCUGCGAAUAAUUCCAGCAAGUGCCAAGGGGCUAGUUGAGGAAUGGCUUCAUGAAG